AUGUGGCUUAGUGGUAGAGCAUCUGCCUGGCACGCACAAAGUCCUGGGCUCUAUCCCCAGCAU
This 63-nucleotide transfer RNA is filed under the name Urocitellus parryii (Arctic ground squirrel). RNAcentral's name for it is "Spermophilus parryii (Arctic ground squirrel) tRNA". It matches the Rfam family "tRNA", at positions 5 to 66 of the family's 71-position model. Rfam says of the family: Transfer RNA (tRNA) molecules are approximately 80 nucleotides in length. Lineage: Eukaryota; Metazoa; Chordata; Mammalia; Rodentia; Sciuridae. RNAcentral also lists the same sequence under 1 other name. The record is from Rfam by way of RNAcentral.